This 73-nucleotide transfer RNA is filed under the name Actinoplanes campanulatus. It matches the Rfam family "tRNA". From Rfam's summary of the family: Transfer RNA (tRNA) molecules are approximately 80 nucleotides in length. The record is from Rfam by way of RNAcentral. Lineage: Bacteria; Bacillati; Actinomycetota; Actinomycetes; Micromonosporales; Micromonosporaceae.
GUUCCGGUGGCUCAGUUGGUAGAGCGCCGCCUCGACAAGACGGAGGUCCCUGGUUCGAUUCCAGGCCGGAACA